AGAUAAGACAGCUGAAUGAUAGCCGGGCUGAAGACUCUACUUGACUAGCUGAGAGGAGGUGCAUGGCCGUCGUCAGUUCGUACUGUGAAGCAUCCUGUUAAGUCAGGCAACGAGCGAGACCCACGCCACAGUUGCCAGCUCGUCCUCCGGGAUGGUGGGGACACUGUUGGGACCGCCUCUGCUAAAGAGGAGGAAGGAAUGGGCAACGGUAGGUCAGCAUGCCCCGAAUUAUCUGGGCUACACGCGGGCUACAAUGGGUGGGACAAUGGGUAUCGACACCGAAAGGUGAAGGCAAUCUCCUAAACCCAUCCUUAGUUCGGAUUGUGGGCUGCAACUCGCCCACAUGAAGCUGGAAUCUGUAGUAAUCGUGUUUCAAAAUAGCACGGUGAAUAUCGUCCCUGCUCCUU
This 407-nucleotide ribosomal RNA is filed under the name uncultured Methanomicrobiales archaeon. Its description in RNAcentral is "bacterial SSU rRNA". It matches the Rfam family "Archaeal small subunit ribosomal RNA", at positions 932 to 1338 of the family's 1478-position model. Lineage: Archaea; Methanobacteriati; Methanobacteriota; Methanomicrobia; Methanomicrobiales. The record is from RNAcentral.